UACGGAGGGUGCAAGCGUUGUUCGGAAUCACUGGGCGUAAAGGGCGUGUAGGCGGUCCGCUAAGUCUGAUGUGAAAGCCCGGGGCUCACCCCCGGAAGUGCAUUGGAAACUGACGGACUCGAGUCCCGGAGAGGAGGGUGGAAUUCCUGGUGUAGCGGUGAAAUGCGUAGAUAUCAGGAGGAACACCGGUGGCGAAGGCGGCCCUCUGGACGGUGACUGACGCUGAGGCGCGAAAGCUAGGGGAGCGAACGGG
Molecule: ribosomal RNA, 253 nt
Filed under: uncultured bacterium
Lineage: Bacteria
Description: partial 16S ribosomal RNA
Rfam family: Bacterial small subunit ribosomal RNA
Source: RNAcentral